Podarcis lilfordi (Lilford's wall lizard) is the source of this 11475-nucleotide non-coding RNA. Lineage: Eukaryota; Metazoa; Chordata; Lepidosauria; Squamata; Lacertidae. The record is from the annotation of a GenBank genome assembly.
ACAGCAGUCACGACCACCAGCAUGCUGCCCACUUGUGAUGCAUCAGAGGAAAUUAAUGGACUGAAGCAAGGAAGGUUAAUAGAUCCAGAAGGGCUCUGCACAGAGCUUUCAUCAGAGGAAAGGGAAAAAAGUGCUUUCUGCAUCUCCUCCACCCUUCAGUGUCAUUUCAAGUGGCCAGUGACAAUUCCAUGGAGAGGCUGUUUCACAAUGUGUCUUUAAAAUAAUGAUUAAAAUGCCUCAGGAGAAACCGAUGGAAGCCAGCUUCCACUGAACACGAGAACACCAGAAGAGCCUUCUGGAUCAGGCCAGUGGUCCAUCUAGUCCAGAUGCCAUAAAGUGAAGCCUGCAAACAGAACUGGAGGACAAGGACACUCUCCCCUCCUGUGGCUUCCAGAAAGUGGUUCAGCUGCAUUACUGCUUCCAGCCAUGGCCCAUCAAUUUCAAGGGGUCUACUCUGAGUAAGUAUUCUCUUUCCAGCAGCCACCAACUUCCUACGGCUUGGUGGGUGUCGCAAAACAGGUCUAUAGUUUGGGUCCUUUGCAUGUCGCAAUUGAACCCUUUUAUUUUAAGAUUCUUUGAUGGGAUUUUCCCACCACCCCCUAAGACAUUUAUGGUCACUGAGCCUGUGCAUACAUUACAUUAACAGUGCAAGAUGAUCACAGAUGAGGAGGCCUUUUAUUUCCCUGUGCAGAAGCAGCAGCAGUGUUGAGGAAGUCCUGAAACACGUUUGCUGGCCCCAAAGAACUUCUUGUCCAGCAGAUGUAAUCUGCGGCUGUUUUCCUUUCAGAGAAAGUUAUUAAUGUUUGCUGUUCACUCAAGGCUUUUACAGCUUCCUUUUUUUGGUAAUUCUCACAGAGGCUUUCCUUUUUAUUGCAUUCUUCCUGUGAGAAACGCUGGGGAGGAUCUUUUUUCUUUCUUUAAUAGAGUUUACUUAACAUUUGAAUUGGAAUCUAGGAGCAUUUUCUGCUGAUGAAAAGUGGAGAGGGCAGGAAUAAUAAUAUUUAGGCUACAGUCCAAAGCAUACUUCUUGGGACCAAGCUCAAUUGAGUGGAUGGGACUAACCUCCCAGGAAAUAUUUCGUUAAGUUGCAACAGUGAGCACAGUGCAAUAAGUCAAACCUUUUCAAACCCAAGAUCUGGUUUCUUUUUUCUGAAACAGGGUACUCAUUUCUUCUUCUUUACUUAUUCAGAAGUAACACUGAACCACAAUUACUGUAUUUUUCCAUCUAUAAGAUGUCCCCAUGUAUAAGACGCCCCCUAUUUUUGAGGACUCAGAUUUAAGGAAAUGGGGGAGAUGUAUCCGCGUAUAAGACACCCCCUAAUUUUUGACAUUAUUUUUUAGGGGAAAAAACCUAUGUCUUAUACAUGGAAAAAUAUGGUAAAUGCUUUGUGAAUUAGCCUUCAGUUUAUUCACCUCCAGCUUCCAUUUCAUGAUUUGAUGUCCUUCCAAUUUACUGACAAACCACCAUCUGCUACUGCAGCCAAACUGUGCAAGUUAUGAUUUCUACAAACCAUAGUUUACCCACAAAGCAAGAUUAGGUGUUGUCUGCAGGCUUGGUUUGCAGACAGAUUAUGACUUGUGUAAAGCUUAGUUUUGUGGGUUGGUUGUAAUAAGAAAAUAUAGUUUAUUGCUGAACCAGAAGUGAUGGAGGAAAUGGGAGCAUUUGCGGGGAUGAUGGAGGCAAAGAGCUGGUGGGAGGGUACCAGUCCUGCUGGUCAGAUCCACUGACAGGGGGUAUGCUACAAAGGGCUUUCAACAGCGCCAGCAAAGGGCAUCAAAUCUGACUUAAGUGUUAGGCUCAAUGGCAAGAAGUGGCACAUACGACCACAGGGGCAAUGGAGAAGUAAGAUCCUGCCAGCCCAGCCUCCUGGAUGGAGGUCCUUCCCAAGGAAGGACUCUUUCAUCCAGGGAUAGCUAAACUAGGACCAUCCAACUUUUGCCUAACUACAAUUCACAUCAGCCCCAUCAACCCGUUUAAAAUUGGUUACUGACUUUUCUUCUCAAGGGUAUCCCAGAGUGCUCUCACUGAGAAGAUAUACUUCUGUUGUAGACUGACCAACAAUGUCUCUUUGGAUCAUCUUAAGAUCGUCUUGGUGUGUGCUGAGGGAAGCAGUGAUCCCAAGUUGCUUAGGGCCUUAGAUUUCAACCGCAAAGCUCUGAAGCAGGCUCCAUAUCUGACAGGCAACCAGUGCAGUUCUUUCAACAGUAAAGCAAUGUGUGAGAAACUGGGCACCCCCUGGGCUUCUAGCAGUUGCAUAUGAAUUAGCUGCAGCUUCUAAACCAGAUGCAAGAAGUAGUCCCUCAUACAGUGCAUUGCAACCAUCUAAAUGUAAGGUUACGAAUGCAUGGUCCACUGUGGUAAGACUAACUGGUUGCAGCUGGUGAACAAACUAAAGCUGGCAAUGGGUGCUCCACUGAUGUUGUCCUUAGCAUUUCUUGGGGGGGGGGGGAAUCAGUUAAAUUUCCCUUGCACUUAAUUACACCCAAUCAUGCCAUUAGGCAUUCGACUCUGAUUAGUAAUCAGCAUUAUAAUACUAUUAACAUAAUUUUUUUUAAUAUUGUGUUUAAAUGUUGUAACCCACCCUGGGACCCUAGGGUGAAGGUCGAGUAAUUAAUAAUAAUAGCAACCACAAUCCUGUUCAUGGUGUGAUCCUUGAUUGGCUGGGCUCACCAAUGUGAUUAACAGGGGAAAGAAAAGUUUCAGUCCCAUCAAAAUUGCUAUUUUCUGUCUGAAAACAGAGUGUAUUUCAUACAUGACACAAGUUAAAGAUGGACUACUCAAAACAUACAUGGGCAAGUUUAAUUAAAAGACUUUGACAAGCUUCCUGGCAGAUAUCACAGCUUGUUUGUUUUUCUUGCUUACAUUUUUAGGCAUCCUAAUGAGAGAGUGACAUUUCCUAGACUUAAUUGAUAUUUACUAAGAAUUCUGCAAUGAGAGCUGAAAAGCCAGUCUGAGGCUCUUCUGUCCCCCAGUCCCACCAUGGCCCUAUCUCUGGGAAUAUCACUAAUUAGCAUCAUUAGCGUUCAAGCUCUGUCAGCACUUACCAUACUUGGGGUUUGUACUUAACACAUUUCAGUUAUUCUCCACUGUCACAUUUGAUAUUUGCAGAAAUACAGCCUUCUGAGAAAGCAUGACUUUAACAAGGCACCAGCCUUCCUUCAGGUUAUUACUAUUUUUAUUACCCAACCGUCGGUCUUAACUGGAACCUGUGCAGAGCCUAGACUGGCUUGUGGAGGCACAGCUUGGAAGGGUGGGGAAGCAAAUCCUCCCCUUUGGUCCUUCUUGGUACAGGCAGGCAUGAUGGGCGGAGUCAUGAGCCUGGCUUCUUGCCAGGAAAGGAGCUGCACAGAGAAGCGAGUGUAAAAGCUACGUCUGCCACCACCUUUUGGUUCUGGGCAUCCAAUACCCCCUACUUUCUGUGGUCCAGCAGAUACUCCUCAGCACGGCCUUCUGAGACCAGUUCUCCAAGAAGGAUCGGAGCCACCAUAACGCUAUGCUUCCCAGUCCCAAACCAGACAAAAGGAUACAAGAAAAAGAUCCAAAGGGUUGAUGCUGUCAAAGUUGUUGAGAGCCCCAGGAGAACCAACAGGGUCAGACUCCCCACCUGCAUGCAUUCCCCAGCAUAAGUCACCCACCAAACAGACCAAGGCUGUUUCUGUUUCAGACCUGGGUCUGCAGCAAGACUGGAAAGAUUUAGUUAUGUCUUUAUAUUACUUACUAGGGGAGCUCUGCCCCACUGCUUACUGGCCCAUUGGCAGUAUCCUGUCCUCAUGGAGAGUGCUGAAAACCUCUCAUGGGCCCCAGAUGCUUGUGGUCUAUACUAGGAGUCAGCUUGAAGGCAAUGUACUUUAGGCUUUCCAGCAGAGUUUGGAGAUAUAGGGACCAAUGGUGGCAUAAAGUCCUCCCUUUGCCCACUGGUGUACGAACGGAGGGGAGGCAGGGGAGCGCACCGCCCCAGGCACCAUUUGGGGAAAGGAUGCCAUCACGACCACCCCCCCGGGAUGUGCACCGCAUGCCGCGCCCUCCAGGGACGUACGCCGCACACCGUGCAAUCCCGGACAUGUACCACGCCCCUGCAGGUGAUGUGCCACGCCCUUGCGCCGCUUGCCACGUCCCCAGAUGAUGUGGCACUCCCCUGGGACUCGUGCCAGCCACACCUCCACCUGUUCUUCGCUCCGGGGGCUGCAGCAUGUUGCUCCGCCACUGCCUUUGCCCUCCGGCAAGACUUCCUGGCUGCUGCAGGCUUUCCUUCUAUCUGCUGGUUCCUAGUAGUAGCAGACAAGGAAGGGUUAAUACUCCACCCGCUCUACAAACCACUCUGUCCUGAAGCUGCUCUGCACCAGUACUUUGACUUAUAGAAAUGUGAGGUGCUAUCUUACACCAGGUCAGACAAUUUUUUUUUUGCACAUCUAGUGCAGCAUCGCCUACUCUGACUGGCAGCACCUGCUCUCUGGUGCCUAAGCCUUUUGCAGGUGUUUGCUUGCAUAGCUGAGUUGGCUGGUAUUCUGCCAUGGAGAAAGCGAGAUGAGCCGGGUGGUGCGAGCCUCCCCUGAAUGCCAGAGCUAGCUGGAAUGCAAACUAGUCAGAUGUCAUUAUUUUCCCAAACAUCUGCUGGAGCCAAGAGGCACAUCACCAGGCAGGCCUCCAUCACCAAGGUGGCAGCUCCGAGGCCUCUUCCGGGAGGCAUCCUCAUCCUCCUGGCUGCCUUCCCCCUGCAUUGGUGCCUCUGCUCUGCAAAUGUCAGUCCCAAGUUCUGGACUGACAAGUACCAAGCAGGUACUUGCCUCCAAGGCCCACUGCCAUCCAGUUCACCUGCUGCAAGCAAUCCAUUUCAGGGGGAUGCAACUGCCCAUCAAAGUAGAGCCUAGACAGAUGCAGAGAUAAAGAAGGAGGCUGGGCCAGAGCUGUGAGAUGAAGAGAGGCAGAAUCCAGCCCUACCUUCCUCAGCCAAGUGUGAAACAUGCAUCCUUUUUUGCCAUUGCAAAGGAGAAUACUGGGGGGAAUUCAAAGCUAUCAGCCUUUGGUGUGUGAUAGAUUUUCCCCAUUAAGACUUCUUCGGCUAUGUAAUCACAAGAAUAUUUUACAUGCCUGUGCCCAUCUGUUUGUGAAUAAGUCCAGCUGAAAGCACCUGCCCCUUGCUUAAGCACCCGUGGGACUGACACUCGCUAGGAAGAGAGAAAUAGACCAGGUUUCCCCAACUUGGUGCCCUCCAGCAGUUUUGGACUAUGACUCCUCAUCAGCACCAGCCAGCACAGCAUUUUCUCUAGAGCAACUGUAUUUAUACACCAUGGUUUAGAACAGGGGUCAGCAAACUUUUUCAGCAGGGGGCCGGUCCACUGUCCCUCAGACCUUGUGGGGGGCCAGACUAUAUUUGGGGGGGGGGGAAAUGAACGAAUUCCUAUGCCCCACAAAUAAUCCAGAGAUGCAUUUUAAAUAAAAUGACACAUUCUACUCAUGUAAAAACACGCUGAUUCCCAGACUGUCCGCAGGGCAGAUUUAGAAGGCGAUUGGGCCGGAUACGGCCCCCGGGCCUUAGUUUGCCUACCCAUAGUUUAGACAGUCACUCUCGGAUUCUCCUUCUUUGAGGAAGGAGCUGUGAAUUUGGAAGUCCUGGCCAGUUCAAAGGUUCCCUCUCUGACAUGAAAACACUAUGAAUUCUCUACCUCUCACAUAGGCAAUAUGGGAAAAUGAUAGGACCCAUUUUAGAGAGAAAGAAAACUGUGUCCCUCUCUCCACUACUUGUCACCAAGCGAUUAUUGAUGGAAAAAAUCUUGUCCAUUCCUGCUCUGAGAUACUCUAUAAAUGGCAAGCACACACACUUCCCCCAGUUACAACUUCAUAUCUGAUUAAAUAGGUUGUUGCAGAUGAAAGCCUAUGCCCAUUUCACAGCCAAAAGCCUGUAAAAUUUAGUCUCCAGGUGCCUGUGAAGGCUCCCCGCCCCUUCACAUUAUAGAAAAGUAACAUGGCUUUCACAUUUUAUUAUGUUGGUCACUGUAUGGUAAUUAUGGUAAUGGCUGUUUGUACUGCUCCUACCUGCAGAAGCUCUGUUCCUGCAUGCUACUCCCGAACUCCAUUCGCAUUGCUACACUAUAUUACCAGUCAGACAUUCUUCCUAGGCAGAGAUAUUUCUUUAAAAGAUGAAGCACUCCAUUAGUCGAGUGUGUAUUUUACACAAGGCAAUUCAAUAUUGCUGCUUUUUAAAAAUACCUCCUCGUGGUAUGCAAUGGAAUAUUGAUUAAACCUUAAGGCUGAUUGUGGCAACGUGGUGCUCAUGAGGCAACCACUUUUCAGUACCUACCUAAUAAUGUAUGGUUGCAAACCUGGAGCCCAGCACCGAGGAAGAGAGACCUUGGUGUAUCACAGCUCUGCUGCCCAGGUGUCUGUGGCAGGACAUGGCGAGCAUUUUUUGUUUUGUUUUAAAAUACAAGUUUCCAAACCUCAUUAUAACCUUGUUUGAAAUACGGAUUUGUUCAGCUUGUAAUGCCCUGGUGUGGUAUGAAUCAAGCAGUAUUUUCUUUCAGAACACUUGUCUACUGCCUGGAAUUUAAAACAAUAUCCUGCGCAUACGUACAGAGUGUUUUUUAAAUGCAACUCUACUUUUUGAGCAAGUCCUGGACACUGACUGCUGCUCAGUCAGAGCUCAGACUCUCUGAAGACUUACAAAAUCUUCCGGAGGGAGGAGUUGUGUCUGAGCUAUUUCUGAGACAAUUAGUGCCUGGGAUUUAUUUAAAAAUAGAUGGUAUAGGGCAGCCAGGAUGACUUAGAAUGCAGGGUGGGGCUCUCUCCCCUUCAAGUAUUCUCCAGCGAUCUACCUCCCUUUCAAGGGUUCUCCAGGGAUGCCUCACUCCACCUAAUGGUAAGGCCAGCCAUGGCUGGAGAGUGAGGUUUGGUGGCCUGGAGGGCAAAUUGGGUAUUCUUCUAAGGCUCAGAUUUUAAUCCAAGUCGGAGAAGAAUAUGGGACUUGUAAAGCUCUCAUUCUCCUUUUAGGUACGCAUCACAAGCCCCCUAAGCUUGCAGCUCAGAGAAGUCAAUCAACACCUAUCUGUAUCAGCUUUUCAACAAUAUCACUUUGCAUCUCUGUCAAGCUUUGCAGGAGGGAAUCCCUCAUGCAGAAUGCUUGGCAUCAGCAAGGCAGUGCUGGCUGUAGUUGAUGGGAGCUGAUGGUUGGCAGAGACUGUGCUAAGGUUUCUGGGUUUAAUAUAGUCAAAUAGAGAUUUGCUGAGUCUGUUCUCUCUUUGCCAGGAACAAGAUGCCUGUUUCUUGUGUACAUAAGGAGCUGUGUCUGGUCUAAGAUGCGUUUUCAGUAGCCACCCAAUCCUUGGUGACUGUAUUCUGUUCCAACUGUUUUCAAUUUUCAGUUGUUGUAACCCAACUUGAGACCUGCUGGUAAUAAAUUUAAUAAUAUGAAUAUGAAUAAUAAUAAUAGGAAAAAAACUGGAUAUCCUCCUUCUAUCAACCCUCAGCUUUUCCUUGAUUAGGGUUACUUGCAAUGUUGAGUACAAGCCAAUAAUCUCUUGCAGGAUGUGCUCACCAUUUUCAUUGGUUUGCGACGGUUGACUUAGCAGCCAGCUCAGAAUUGAUUGCAUGCAGGGACAGUGUGAACGUUUCGGUUUUAAGAAAAAAGUAGAACUCUAUCUUUGGCCCAAGUUGCAGAGUAAAAUGGGUUGCUACCCUACUUUAUGCUUUCUGAUAUACAGUAAAGGAUACACACAGGUUAAUUUUGAUGUUGUUAGAGGGAUCAGAGUUAGACAGCGAGUCGAAUUGUGAUAGGCUAACUUUCAUGUUCUGUUCCCAACACAUUUAAUCUAUAAUGUUCCUUUACUUACAGUGCAUCAAUUAGGUUUAUUGAUAAAUAUUUUCUCUUGCAUUUGCCAGUCAAUACAGUCCACAUCUUUGCGAUGUACUUUCCCCCCAUCGUUCUUUUUCUCUUUGACCCAACACAAGUUGUGGUCUUGUUACCUUGUGGUCAAUAUCACAUUGAAAACAAAUGUACCAUGUUGCCUUGGCUUCAGGUGCUCUGGAAUGCCUAACAUACAGUGACAAGGAGAACACAAGAACAUAAGAUGACCCUGCUGGAUCUGGCCACUGGCCCAUAUAGUCCGGCAUCUAGUCUGGCCAACCAGAUGCCUACAAGAAGGCUUAAGACAGCAUUGCUGCCUCUGACCUUGGAGGCUGAGCAUAGUUAUCAUGGCUAGUAGCCACUGAUAGCUACCAUUCCUUCAUGAAUUUGUCCAGUUUUCUUUUAAUGCCACCCAAGUUGGUGGAGACAUGGGUUGGCUGCUCUGGAAGCAAACAAACCAUAUCAAAGCAAGAAAGGCAGGGCCUCAGGUAGCAGGACCCACAGGAUCCACAAAGAUGUCGAUCUUUCUUCCCCUCUUGUUCCUGAUGUAGAUCUUCAUGCACCCUUUCUUCCCUGUUGGGGAGGGGGACACCAUUUUGUGGUUCACCUCAGAUGCAAAAAUGUCUGCAGAAAGCAGUGAGUGAGGACUGUACAGUAUUGGAUCUGAGCAUGAUGCCUGAGCAAGCAAUGACAACAGGAAUAGGUGGUGCAGGACUAGUCCCACCCCACAGAAGAAAGCAUCUAAGUCCGAGCUGAAGACACUUGCAAGCUUCCCCAUGACCAGGAACCAGCUUUGCUAUCUGAUUCUAAGCAUGUUCAGCUGAAUACUUUUAAUGGGGCACUUCAGAGCAUCCUCUGCAAGGGAGGAAGGAGGGAGCCGAGCGGAUCGUGCUGGUGCAUGUGGGGAUAAAUGCGAUGUUUCGGCACCUAUUGAAGAAGGUUGCUUAAGCAGGAUUUCCCUGAAGUGUGACCCAGCCUCUUACUGAAUAUCAAUUGUACAACCGUUGAUGUGAAAGAUAAAAGACAGGACAGAUAAAAGAAAGUCAUUCUUCACUUAGUGCAUAAUUAAACUAGGGAACUCGCUCCCACAGGAGGCAGUGAUGGACACCAGUAUGGAUGGCUUUAAAGAGGAUUGGGUAGAAUCAUGGAAUAUAAGGAGAUCAACAGGUACUAGCAUUGACGACUAUGCUCUGCCUCUAUAGUAAGGCAGCAAUACUUCUGAAUACCAGUUGCUGGAAGUCACAGGAGGGGAGAGGGCUCUUGUGCUUGGGUCUGCUUGCGGGUUUCCCAUGGAGGCAUUUGGUUGGCCACUGUCAGAACAGGAUGCUGGACUCGAUGGGCCCCCUUUGGGCUGAUCCAGCAGGCUCUCCUAACGUUCUUACAUUAGAAGUAGUUUAAUUGUUUUUAGCAUUUGUAGAGAUGGGUGUUGCUAUUUUAGAACUUGCAAUUUUGAUAUUUUUUCCUCAUUUGUUUUAAACAAUUAAUCUUUAUUAUAUUUAUGAUUAUAAUCUUUUUGUAUACUGCUUCCAUGGCUUCAGGAUAUAAAGCAGUCUGUAAAAUAAAUAAAUGAGUGUUGGGGGCAGGAUUUGACUCGGGGUGGAGAAGGUGUGGACUCGGGGUGGAGAAGCAACAUCUGGCCCUCCAGAUGUUGUUGUUAUUAUUAUAGUAGUACCUUGGUUCUCGAAGUCCAUUCGACUCCUGAAAUGGUUCGAAAACCAAGGUGCAGCUUCCGAUUGGCUGCAGGAGCUUCCUGCACUCAAGCAGAAGUUGCGUUGGAUGUUCGGCUUCCGAAAAAUGUUCACAAACCAGAACACUUACUUUCAGGUUUGCAGUGUUUGGGAGCAGAUUUGUUUGACAACUAAGCCGUUCGAGAACCAAGGUACCACUGUAUAUUUAUUCAUAUCCCACUUUUACCCUAGACAGGGACUCAAGGAAGCUUAUAGGUAAAGACAAAGAAAACAAACAUAAUUAAAGUGCAAUUAAAUGUUAAUGGUCUGUCUAUCUAUCUAUAUCUAUCUAUCAUCUAUCUAUCUAUCAUCUAUCAUUAUCUAUGAUAAUCACAAUGAAAACAUGCUUGCUGCAGGGGCUGAUGGGAGUUGUAGUUCAGCAACAUCUCUGGAGGGCCAAAGCUUCCCCACUCCUGGAGUAAUCUGUUAUACCUGGGUAGAGCAGUUUCUGUAAAGCACUUUGAGGUGUUUUUUUUUAAUGUAAUCAAGCAGUAUAUAAAGCUUGUGAAAUACAUACAUAAAUAAAAUUUCAGGAAAUGCAAGGGAGAUGUACACUGCUCACACGAAAUAUAAAAUGGCAUUAAAAUGGGUGUGCAAAAAAGUGAAUAAGUGUAUUGCUCUGAAUGUAAGAGUUGUGAAACUCAGGACUCAGCUAUACAGCUGCAAAUAAAAUGUUUUAAGUGUGUUAUAAGUGCAAUAUACAAUGCGACACUAGAUGGUAAGCCUUAUGGAAAAUUCAAUGUAUUUUAAAAAAAACUUUUAAAAAAGCAUUUUCAGAACGUUUUUUACAUCUGUGUACAUUUCACCUCACAGUCCUUCAGAUGAAUAACUUGAAACCCCUUGUGUAAAUCAUUUAUAUAAAUAAUGUAAAUAAUUUAAUUGCUGUCUUGUUUUAACGGGAUUGUUUCACUACAUAUUUUAAUUAUGGAUGUUUAUAUUUUAGCAUUCUAAGGGGAUUGCUGUAAUGUGUAUUUUAAUUACGGAUGUUUGCAUAUCAAUGUUUGUUUCUUUGGUUUUAUACCAAAGCCUAGCUACUCUCUCUCUCUCUCUCUCUCUCUCUCUCUCUCAGACCCAAAUUCAUAAAAAUAACAUCAAAGCAGUUUACCAUGAUGUGCUUCUACCUGGAAUGCUAUUAUUUAUGCAUGGAGAACAUCCUGUUCUACGAGGAACAUUGGAACUUUCUCUCUGCCACCUAAAGUUUUUACAGUGGUACCUCUGGUUACAAACUUAAUUCGUUCUGGAGGUCCUUUCUUAACCUGAAACUAUUCUUAACCUGAGGCGUGCUUUCACCUCCUGCUACCACCGCGCCACCAGAGCAUGGCUUCUGCUUGCAUCCUGAGGCAAAGUUCGCUACCAGGAAACCUACUUCUGGGUUGGCAGAGCUUGUUACCCGAAGCGUUUGUAAGAAGGACGGUACGUAACCCAAGAUUCCACUGUAUUAUGAGAUGAGUUACUUGUCUACACUGAAUGAAUCUGAACCUGUCUAGACUAGGCCUAAUAAAGUUUUUAUAUGACUGUGUUGCUACAUACAGGGCUAUACUGGCUGAAGUCGAUCUUUCUAAGAACAUAAGAAGAUCCUGUUAGAUCAGGCCAACAUUCUGUCCUCACAGUAGCCAACCACAGGCCUGUGAGAAACCCGAGAGCAGGACUCAAGCGCAACAGCAUUCUCCCCUCCUCUGGUUUCCAGCAACUGGUCGUCAGAGACAUACUGCCUUCCACAGUGCACAAUGGCAUAGCUUUCAUCAUAGCUAGUAGCCACUGACAGCCUCCAUGAAUUUGUCCGGUCCUCUUUAAAAGCCAUCCAAGUUGGUGGCCAUCAUUGCCUCUGGUGGGAUCCAGUUCCAUGACUAUGCACUGCUUGAAGACAGACUUUCUUUUAUCUGUCCUGAAUUUUGGGGGAGUUGCGG